Molecule: transfer RNA, 72 nt
Organism: Camelus ferus (Wild Bactrian camel)
Lineage: Eukaryota; Metazoa; Chordata; Mammalia; Artiodactyla; Camelidae
Rfam family: tRNA
About the family: Transfer RNA (tRNA) molecules are approximately 80 nucleotides in length. Their secondary structure includes four short double-helical elements and three loops (D, anti-codon, and T loops). Further hydrogen bonds mediate the characteristic L-shaped molecular structure. tRNAs have two regions of fundamental functional importance: the anti-codon, which is responsible for specific mRNA codon recognition, and the 3' end, to which the tRNAs corresponding amino acid is attached (by aminoacyl-tRNA synthetases). tRNAs cope with the degeneracy of the genetic code in two manners: having more than one tRNA (with a specific anti-codon) for a particular amino acid; and 'wobble' base-pairing, i.e. permitting non-standard base-pairing at the 3rd anti-codon position.
Source: Rfam
GAGGGCAUAGCUCAGUGGUAGAGUGCAUGCCUAGCAUGCAUGAGGUCCUGGGUUCAAUCCCCAGUACCUCCA